RNAcentral lists this ribosomal RNA (451 nucleotides) under uncultured organism. RNAcentral's name for it is "partial 16S ribosomal RNA". It matches the Rfam family "Bacterial small subunit ribosomal RNA", at positions 329 to 797 of the family's 1533-position model. The record is from RNAcentral.
ACGUACACUCCUGCGGGAGGCAGCAGUGGGGAAUAUUGGACAAUGGGCGCAAGCCUGAUCCAGCCAUGCCGCGUGAGUGAUGAAGGCCCUAGGGUUGUAAAGCUCUUUCACCGGAGAAGAUAAUGACGGUAUCCGGAGAAGAAGCCCCGGCUAACUUCGUGCCAGCAGCCGCGGUAAUACGAAGGGGGCUAGCGUUGUUCGGAAUUACUGGGCGUAAAGCGCACGUAGGCGGAUCGAUCAGUCAGGGGUGAAAUCCCAGGGCUCAACCCUGGAACUGCCUUUGAUACUGUCGAUCUGGAGUAUGGAAGAGGUGAGUGGAAUUCCGAGUGUAGAGGUGAAAUUCGUAGAUAUUCGGAGGAACACCAGUGGCGAAGGCGGCUCACUGGUCCAUUACUGACGCUGAGGUGCGAAAGCGUGGGGAGCAAACAGGAUUAGAAACCCGAGUAGUCCC